AUCAAUUACUAUUUCCCUCUAACGUGGCUGUGUGCAACUUAGCAAAAUGCUGGUAUGUUUGUGUGGUCCUCUACCUAAGUAAAGCUUAAUGAAUAAGAGAACCAAAUAGAAGUGAGGAGGGGAAAGUUACACAGUUACCAGGUAUACUUAAAAGAGAAAAUGAAUAUGAAAAUAUUUAUUCCCUCUGGCAGGCAACAACAGAAUAUUCAUUAAAUUUAAAUUUCAUUUGUGUUGUUUCUUUGUGCCUUUUCCCUCAACUUUAGUCAUAAAAUAUUUUAUGAAAUUCAACUUGACUGUUAAAUGUUUUCCGUAACAAAGAUGUGUUGUGUUUUUUAGUGUAUUGCUCUAACAAUAUAAUUUAUUUGGUAACAGUGGGGGACAAUUAUGAACAUGAGAUUUGGAAAAAAUUAAAGUGUGUCUCCCAACAGAACAUUUUGUUGCUGAAUGUUCUAUUAACUAAUUAUUACAAAUGAGUGUCCUUCUAGACAUAUUUGUACAAAAGUCUUAACGUAUUACUCAUCUAGUAUUGUGUAAUGCAAAAAAAAAGUACUACUAAUUGCUUUUUUCUUUCAUUUGGUCAUUUAAAACAUGUUUUAAACCAGAAAAGAAUAAUCAAGUUACUUCAGCUCUGGUAUCAAGCAAACUGUGAGUAAACGUUUCUGUUUUUGCCCUAAGAAUUCAUCACAUGAAGAUGAUUAGUGACUAUAGAUCAAUCUUUGCACCAGUAACUAUAGAAGGAAGUUUAUUUUAUUUCUCCUAAGUCUGAUAAGGACAAAGUAAACCCAAUAAUACCUGCUAUAGGCUGGUAAGUUAUCUCUCAAAUAAUCUCAACCCAGAGUCAAGAUGUCACUAACAAAAAGAUCCAAACCAUGUAACCUGCACUGAAUAGAAUACAAAUGAACAGAGAUUUUAUAAGUAAACAUGUGGCAUUUACACAUCACUUUCCAAAUUAAUGUUGUUCCUGGAGACCACCUGAAUGAAAGUAGUAGAUCUCUUCUAUCACUAUUACACACUUUCAAACACUAACAAUAACAUUAAGAGUAUCUGUUAUAACUAUAGCUAAAUAAUUGGCCAUACUGAGUCUAAAUUUAAAUGCUAGAUUAAUUUGAUACGUAACCGAUUAAUUUAUAAUUCCUCAGAUGAUGUUUCGGCAUUUGCCACUCACAAGAUCAAUAUCUUCCCUCUUUUGAUCAGCCCAAUUUUGAACAUGGGUUUUCCUUAAAUAAAUCUUUAAAGAGAAAAACAAUGUAAGAAUACAUUCUGCUUUCCUGUCAAAAUACAAUCGACAGGGAAAUAAUUCCUUGCUGUAUUUUAAAAUUUCUCCCUACCCUUCCUUCUGCCUCAAAGAUUAAGAACAUUUGCUUUUCUUGUUUUCCUGAACCACUCUUUGAACAUCACCAGUCUCCCGGUAGGCUUCAGGAAGUUUGCUGAUCCUAUCAGCUCAGGAGCAGCUAAGUUCACAGGAAGGACAAUUCUGAAAGCUGGUGAAGACAUUGCCAUCAGACUCAUCUGCUUGUCAUGAAAUCGCAACAGCCACCCCAGCCUUCGGUAGCCACCACCCUGAUUAGUCAGCAGCCAUCAGCUGAUAUCAAGAGCACAUUAAAUGUUAACACUGCGACUUGCAAGGACCCCCAGCUGGUGGAUCCCUGAGGACAAGGACAGAAGUUCACCAUGCACGGCCACUCUGCUUCAGGAAGAUGGCCAUGUGCAAGCUAGGAAGAAGACAGAACUCACCAGGGACUGAAGUGGCCAGUACUUUGAUCUUGGACUUCAAGCCUCCAGAUCUGUGAGAAAUAAAUUUUUGUUGUUUAAGCAACCCAGUCUGUGGUGUUUUGUUGCAGCAGCCGAAGUGAACUAAGACAAUACCCUAUGAGCUAAUACCAUUUUAGCAGUGAAGAAACUGAGGCUCAGGGAGCUUAGCAACUUUCUCAAAGUUUCUGUGUGCUAAGCUGUUUCCCUGCCCCUUUCUGUCUGAGGGGAAAUUGAAAUAUAAAGCAACAACCUGUUGCAGAAAUAUUUGAGUAAACAAACUUCAGAAAGAGUGUUAGAACCCAAACUAGCUUUCAAGUAGAAAAAUCAAGGUAUUCCUGGGUGCUGUUAGUGUGAAAAUACAGGAAAUGUCAUUGGACCCAUAGGUGGGAAUUAUGGGCAGGUCUCAUAGAACAGGCACCUAGAAGGUAGUCGGUAAUCAAGAAAACAUUUCUUUCCACGAGGCUGCACGAUCCCCCUCAUCUCUGUGUGUCUCUCAUCCUUUAUCGGCCUGCUUCCCUCUUCACCUGAUUCCUCUGCUUGUUCUUUUGGGGUGCAGCCCUACAAGGAACACCAACCUACAUUCUGCUUGUCUCCACUGAUCUGCUCUGUCUUUGAGUAUUUCCAGUUCUAGAAAUUGGUAGAAAGCCAGCUCAUAUGAGUGAGACCGCAUGUACCACAGGCGGCUGGCCAGCUACUUCUCUGGUUCCUUGUCAAAACUGUUGCAUACAUGUAGCUCAAUCUAUGAUCAUCUCUGCACAAACAAACAAACAAACAAACAAACAAAACCCAGCCCUGCACCCUUUCUGUGAAUGGGAAGCAAUGUACAGAACAUAUUAAGCCAAGAGGUAGGUAAGGCAGAAAAUUGAAAGAUGAUAUCUGUUAUUGAUUUGGUAUGAGUUAAAGGUACAUGGUUCUGUUUUAGAUAUUUUAUAAUAAUAAAAAUGAAAAAAGAGAAAGGAAUUGCCCCACAAUUACGUUUUCAAAAUAUGUUUAUUUUUUCCCCUAAUUUUUCUUGAGGUUAUUUAGAUAUUUCUUGACAAAUCUUCAUGGUAACAUAUGUGAAAGCAGACAUGUUUAUUUUCUUUGAUUUGGUGGAAUGAAUUAUCAAAAUUCUGGUUUUUAACAUUGUUAAAACUUCUGAGUAAAAAAUUUCUAACAAAUGAAGUGUUAAUACCAAAAAAAGAGUGUUAGCUAUGAGUGGUAUGUAAAUAAGUUGUCAAAUAUCAUCAAUAAUAAUUCUGAUCACCAUUUUCUUGGGUUUAUUAUAAUAAGACAAAUGUUGCUCCCAAAGAAACUGCUGAUUCUGGGGCAGGGACAAGAGCUCACCAAGAAAUCCAGCUACCAAAAUAUUUUGCCUGGUCACCCGGCCACAGGGGCUGAUGGCCAAAUCACAGACUUGAAACCUAAUGGCUGUGAGUGCACAUCAACGUGUUCAUCUGUCUGGUAUUAUUAUGUAGUUUUUGGAAAGCCGUGAUCUCUACGUCAGAUUGUUUUUUGCAAAAUAAGAAAUAAUACUGGGGUCUUGCCUCAAAAAAAGCAGUGAAGAUCAGCUCAUAGAAAUGUUUGAAAUCUAGGUAGUACUGCAGAUUUGUGGACGCUAGAGAAUGACUGUAAGAAGUGAUCUUAGGCGGGAAAAGCCCACUGUUAGGUCUUGGCUCAUGCUCCGCGUUGCCAAUUCCCAGCCUUGCAAUUUUGGACAGGUUAUUUAAUCUGUAAGUGUGCUUCCAUUUCAUCACAUAUAAAACAGAAAUAUGAAAACCUGCCUUUGAGCAUUUUCAUGGGGAUUAAAUGAGAUAAGUUCUGUCUGGCACAUACCAAUGCACAAAUAAGCUUAGCAAAUGUUUUUGUUUUUUAACUAGAUGAAGAUAAGUCUCUCCAGUGGUAUAUUUUUCUUUAGGAAAAAAAUAUCAGUACAUGCUUUUAACAUAAACCUGAAUCUAACUUCUAUAUAAUAAUGGACAAGAUAAGACUCCAGAAAUAUUUUAGAAUUUUCUUAGAUGAGCUCUCAAUCUGUGUUAAAACAGGUAAAACCUUUUACUAUAGACUGAGAAGGAAGAGAAAGGAAAAAAAAUGGCCUAUUUAAACAAUGAGGAAUAUAUAUAUAUAUAUUUGUCAGUAUCUUAAAGAGGCUUUUCUUAUACAAACAGGAGUAUUUGCUGGUCAGUGCCCAGAUUUUUUUUUCUUUUGAUGUACAUUAAAAAAAUUAAAAGAAAUAUUCUUAGAAAGACAUCUGUGCCUGGGGUGACUCACAUUUGAUCAAUCCCUGUGAACUGAGCUUUUCAGGGGAUGUGCAAUUAUUUGCUCAGUUAGGCUUAAACUUUUUAUUUAUCUAAUCACCCCUCUGUAAUGCUUUGAUCUGAACUUCCAAGGCCUAUUUUUCAACCACUUUAGCUACAUAUUUUAAGUCUUAUAGUCUAAUCAACCCUAGCCCAUAAAACAUGCAAUGUCCUGUUUAAUGCCUCCUAUUAGGAAAUCAGCUGCCACAUGGAUUUUGUAAUCUCCCACUUUGUGACUGGGUGAGCUGUUUGGAAGUGUCAUUAAUGUCAUUAUUCCAGGAGAGCGAGAGAGAGCCAGCAGCCAAGUGCAUCCCCUGUAUCCCAGCUGGCUUCUCCUUGCUAACGUUUGCCGAGUGACUCAGAGGUGAAUCAUCGGUUUCUGCAGGUGUAAGCUUGGGAGUCCUGGAAGUCUUCCACAUCCCAGUGGGGGCAAAUGUUUACCUCAUUAAUUCAUGGGAUUACUCAGUAGUUCCAGCCAACUUAAUUUGACUGUAUAAUAGUUAAAAAUAUGUGUGUGUAUGUGUGUGUGUGUGUGUGCAUAUUUACUUAUAGCCCAGGAGUGUGCUACAGCUUAGAAAUUUAAAGGUAAAACCUGUCAUUGAAUAAUUAGAAAAUGUUGUGUUUAUUUGAAACAUUUAGAAAAAAAAAUUCUAUGUAUGUCAUUUUACUGUAACAUAUACACUUGGUAAUGAUAUUUCUCACUUUUCUCUCUGUGCUUGGAUAUAUGUGAGGGACUGAGGUCCAUAACAGUUGGUGAAUUAGCCCACUCUAAUUCCUUUCCCAGCCUUGGGGCUUAUUUAGUUGAAUGUUGUCAGAAACCUUAGCCUUCAGAGACUUUUUUCUUUUCAAAGGACACUCAAUUUUUGGUUGUAAAAACAAAAAAGUAAAUAUAAAUAUAUUUCUUCACUUUAUUCAUCUCUGAACAAAUCUUGCUUUUACAUCUUAGUAGUGCCUAAUGAAGAUAACAACCAUCAACUAAAUUAGUAAGAUUUAAGAAUAUAAAAAUAUAGUUACAGCGCCAAUUUGCUGAAAAUUAAUGGUCAUUAAUCAAGACCUAUGAUGCAAUAGCUAAUAAUUGAUUUCCUCCUAUGUUCUAGCACAAUGUAAAAUGCUUUACAAAUACUAAUUUAUUUAAUUAUUAGAACACCCUACAACAUUGGUACUCUUAUUGUCUGCAUUUUACAGAUGAGAAACUCCAGGCAGAGAGAGGUUAGCCAGCUUGCCUAAGGUCACACACAGAUAAUACAUGAUGAAGCCGGCAUUUAAAUCCAGACAGUCUGACCUUAGAACCUGAAUUAUAAAACACUAUGUUAUUAUGGUCUAAUGACAAAUUUUUAAAAAACACAGAAGAAUCUAUGCAUGUAAAUGAAUCCAGUCCAUCUUAAAGUAGCCACCUAUGUAUGCUCUAUACUUAUUUCAAAUUUUGCUGUGGCUUAACACUUCCAGAACUCUCUCUUUUCUUUCAUUUCUAAAAAAAUUCUUGUGGAAACUAUGCCUUGUUGGUCUAAAUAUCACCAGUAAAAGCUUCACUCUUUGAAGUUGAAUUUGAUUUUGGAAAUAGUUGAAAGUGAUUCAAAACUCAGGUUGGUGAAGAGAGGAGGAAUCAAGUUUGGUAAGAUCACUAUAAGUUAAACUGUCUCUAAAUAUAAUUUUCAAGCAGGGAUUCUAGAAUUCCAAAAAUAUUUUGUGUAAUGGUAGCAUCAUUAAAAUAAAUGGAAAGCCUGCAAAGGUCAUUCUGAAGAGCGUUAGAAAGACAGAGAACAGUAGCAUAGAAGUUUCUGCUACAGUGAUUCAUCCUCUAAACAUAUGAAACCAUCCUAUUAGGUCACAAUUCAAUAGAUGCUAUUUGACUACCUGACCUGUUAGAAGCCCCUUUCAAUUCUUCUGUAUCCAAAUUUAUAUAGGGGACAUUAUCGGUCAAGACCCUGGUGAGAGAGUGACACAAAAUGGGUAAUUGAGGAGAGUUAAAUAAAGAAACAGUUUACAGGGUUAUAAGCAGGAUUUGUGGAAACCAAUAACAGAAAGUGCAAAUCCCUGGAUAGGCAGCAUGGAGGCACCAUCAUGCCCCUCAGCCUGAAGGGGCGCAAGGAGAGGAGCAGGGGCAAGAACCAGGGAGGGCUGCUGCUGUGAACAGGGCUGCAUGCAAGGGCCUGCAUUGGGGGAGGCAGCCAGCCCAUGUCAACCAAACGUAGGGGGGAGUCAGCUCAGAGCAAAUACCCCAUCUCACUCUCCUCCUGCCCUCUGAACUCCUGCUACUGCCCCACAGACCAAACCCAACCAGAACACACAGCAAAGAGCCAGCCUGUUGUCACAUGCCACAGAGAUUACCUUUUGGGAGCACACAGUGGGGUCAAGCCUGCCUUCUCUCUGGUUCUCACCUUUCCUAGAGGAGAGGAACUGACGCAUGGUAAAGACAUUUCAUAUACAAAUUUCAGUUACCCAACUGGCCUAGGAAAGGGAGGAGAGGAAGAAUCUGACAUUUAUUGACAGUUUUUACAUUUAGUGAGUACUUACUAUGUACCCAAUGUGCCAGGUGUUUUACUUAUGUUAAAAAUGAAGAUGCAUUAUGUGAAGAGAAUUUCACUUUACUUCUGUGGUUUCCCUCCCCUCACAAUUACAUUCUAAUUAUGAGAAAACAUCAGAUAAACCUUAUCUCUAUUGAGGGGCAUUCAAUAAAAUAUCUGAGCAGUAUUCCUCAAAACUGUUAAGGUCUUCAAAAAUAAAGAAUUCCGAGAAACUAUCACAACCAAUGGGAGCCUCAGGAGACAUGACCAACAAAUAUAAUAUGGUAUCCCUGAUGGGAUCCUGGAAAAGAAAACAGACAUUCGGUAAAAACUAUGGAAAUCUGGGCCGGGCGUGGUGGCUUACACCUGUAAUCCCAGCACUUUGGGGGGCCGAGGCAGGUGGAUCACCUGAGGUUUGGGAGUUCGAGGCCAGCCUGACCAACAUGGAGAAACCCCGUCUCUACUAAAAAUACAAAAUUAGCCUGGCGUGGUGGUGCAUGCCUGUAAUCCCAGCUACUCGGGAGGCUGGAGCAGAAGAAUCACUUGAACCGGGGAGGUGGGGGUUGUGGUGAGCCGAGAUCACACCAUUGCACUCUAGCCUGGGCAACAAGAGCGAACUCCAUCUCAAAAAGAAAAACAAAAAAACAAAACAAAACAAAAACUAUGGAAAUCUGAGUAAAGUGUGGGCUUUAGUUAAUAACAAUGUAUCAGUAUUGGUUGAUUAAUUGUGACAACUGUAUGUACUAAUGUAAGAUGUUAAUAAUGGUGUGGGGUGUAUGGAAACUCUCUUAUCUUUGCAAUAUUUCUGUAAAUCUAGAA
Molecule: long non-coding RNA, 7351 nt
Filed under: Homo sapiens (human)
Lineage: Eukaryota; Metazoa; Chordata; Mammalia; Primates; Hominidae
Description: HSALNT0065230
Source: RNAcentral